AAGUCGUAACAAGGUAACCGUAGGUGAACCUGCGGUUGGAUCAUUAAUAAAAUCUUUAUAUUGUUAAGUGUAAUUAAAAGUUUACUUUUUUUUACCUUUUCAAACAUUUUGUGAACUGUUAAUUUUGGUAUGGAUCAAUGGAGUAAUAAAAUUUAUUUUUUAUUAUUUUACCAUACCAUUAUUUUAAACUUUUUAAAAAUUAUUUAUAUAUAAGUCUUUAAAAAAAAUAAAAAUUUUGUUUACGCAAAUUUUUUAAAUUUAUUUAUAAAAUUAUAAAACAACUUUUGACAACGGAUCUCUAGGCUCUCA
Molecule: unclassified non-coding RNA, 309 nt
Filed under: Clydaea vesicula
Lineage: Eukaryota; Fungi; Chytridiomycota; Chytridiomycetes; Lobulomycetales; Lobulomycetaceae
Description: partial internal transcribed spacer region
Rfam family: Eukaryotic small subunit ribosomal RNA (bases 1-46)
Source: RNAcentral